GACAGAGGUCUCAAGCGUUAGGCGGAAUCACUGGGCUUAAAGCGUGUGUAGGCGGAUCGUUAAGUGCCUUGUGAAAUCCCACGGCUCAACCGUGGAACUGCUUGGCAUACUGGCGGUCUUGAGCCAUCUAGGGGUCGCUGGAACAAACGGUGGAGCGGUGAAAUGCGUAGAUAUCGUUUGGAACGCCAAUGGUGAAAACAGGCGACUGGGGAUGUGCUGACGCUGAGACACGAAAGCCAGGGGAGCAAACGGGAUUAGAAACCCCCGUAGUCC
This 273-nucleotide ribosomal RNA is filed under the name uncultured bacterium. Its description in RNAcentral is "partial 16S ribosomal RNA". It matches the Rfam family "Bacterial small subunit ribosomal RNA", at positions 524 to 796 of the family's 1533-position model. The record is from RNAcentral.